AUGGGAAUGAAAAUAGACUUUUCCAAACACCCUGGAGACCACACCCAGGUUCUGUAUGGUACAUAGAACCCCAUAAUGAGGGAGAGAGUGAGGCUGGCUUUCUUGAGUCUGAUGGGGACUUGGGAGUCUUAUUUUUGGGUUUCUGAGUCCAUCCUAAUACUGAGGAGCCAAGCUGCUGGAUGAUCCCAGAGAUGCCAGAAUCGUCUACCUGGUGGGGCUAACCCCUGUGCUCUGUGUGUUCCCUUGGAGGAUGGUGGCAGCAUCCUCAAAGUAGACUCCUGGGAUAAAUAAAUGGGAAGACAGCGCCCUAAAGCUGAGGGUGUGAGGAGAUUA
Non-coding RNA from Rattus norvegicus (Norway rat), 333 nucleotides. The record is from RefSeq and is a predicted model, not a curated record. Lineage: Eukaryota; Metazoa; Chordata; Mammalia; Rodentia; Muridae.